Molecule: RNA transcript, 2425 nt
Organism: Bufo bufo (common toad)
Lineage: Eukaryota; Metazoa; Chordata; Amphibia; Anura; Bufonidae
Gene: TMX1
Gene name: thioredoxin related transmembrane protein 1
Exons: 9
Source: RefSeq, a predicted model, not a curated record
GCCGUGAGAGGCGGGGCCAUCAGGUGUCAUGGCGGCGCUGUACAUUGCCGGCUGCUUCCUGCUCGUUCUCCUCCCGGCUGUGCCGGCCAAGAAGGGGGACGUGAUCGAGAUCACCGACCACAGCUGGAGGGACGUCCUGCAGGGGGAGUGGAUGGUCAAAUUUUACGCCCCGUGGUGCCCCGCGUGUCAGAAGCUGCAGCCAGAAUGGGAGGAGUUUGCAGACUGGGGAGAUGAUCUCAAUGUGAACAUCGCUAAAGUGGACGUCACGGCGCAGCCAGGUCUGAGCGGCCGUUUUAUCAUCACCGCCCUGCCGACCAUAUAUCACUGUAAAGAUGGCGUUUUCCGGAAGUAUCAGGGAUCCAGGACGCACAAGGACUUCAUCAGCUUCAUCAACGAGAAGGAAUGGGAGUCGAUAGAAGCCGUGUCCUCUUGGUUCAGCCCCGAUUCCCUGUUGAUGAGCGGCAUGUCUACCCUGUUCCAGCUGUCGGUGUGGAUUCGGAACUGUCACAACUACUUUGUGGAAGACCUCGGUCUUCCCGUCUGGGGGUCUUACGUCGUAUUUGGAUUGAUGACCCUUUUUCUUGGCCUGUUCCUGGGGCUGGUUCUGGUGUUCAUUGCAGAUUAUCUGUGUCCAACCAAGAGACAACGACCUCAAGGCUUCGCCUACCCCAGUGAAAAAACUUACGCCUGAAGCUGAAAAACUACUGAAAGAACUGGAGGAGGAAGAGGAGAUUAGGGAAGAGACAGGUGACCACGGCACAAAGGAAAAUCUACGGAAGCGAAUCGGAAAAUCCUAAUUUGUAGCGUCGUUUGUAACAGUCGGAGAAGGACAAGUCCCUGAAGCUGGCAGUAGAACAGCAGCGCGUUUCAUUCCUGUAGGAGACGCUCGCUCCGGUUGUCGGCUCCUGACCUUGUCCUAACCAACCCCCCGCGGACAGUCUUCACUCCCGUCUUCCUGAUCAGACUGCACCGAUGGACCGACACCUGAUGGCUGCUCUCCUGUGUGUUAUAUCCGUCACCGUAGCCAUAUACAACCCCCGGGGACUACUGUACACAGUAUAUUGAGCCCUGCAGUAGGCCUCCAUAGACAUUAACCCUUUAUGCCUGGUUUGUGGUCCACCUAAUGGGAGUUGUAGUUUCACCGGUAUGCAGGGGAGUAGCUUGGAUGGCUUCACCCUCCAUUAUAUCUAAUCCCAUAGGAGCUCUACCGCCUGUCAUCUCUUCCUUGGUGCAGCGAGAGAACUCCAAGGUGUCGGGGGUCCUGACUGCGGUCUGUGCAGCCCCCCUACGCUACUGCUUUCUUUGCCAUGUACGUUUUGAAUACAGGUGUUUUUUUAGGUUUUCCGUUAACUGUAUGUCAGUGUUAUAUGAACGUAAAGAGACGUCCAGGGGUAUUCCCAGCUGGUAUUCCCAUUAAUGCUCAAUACUCCACCGCUGGCACCAGCUCCUUUCUCACAAACAAGGCCCUGAAGUGAAUGAAGAGGAAGCUGCGCAUGCGCCACAUCCUUCAUUUACCGCUGUGCACAGUCUUGCUGAUUUUCAGAAGUCCCAGAGCAUUGAAUAGAGAGGACACGGCGCAUGAUGAGUGGUGUGGUCAUUGUUAAUGGUGGACCUUUCGGACACGUAUUGCAUAUCCUGCCAAUGUGAAUGUCUAGCUGGGACAACAUCGUUAAGGGCACGUGGUCAAUGCAUGGCUUCUUUCUCCGCUGGUUGGCCAGGAAGGAUCUCCUGACAGACGGGACCUGGCCAAUCAGCCGAGAGCGGAGCCCUACUUUAUCUACAGCAUAUAUUGUGGGCAAUGGGAUUAGAAGGGAUUUCCAACAACCUGCGAACCACUUUGAAGCCUCCGGAAGAUGGAAAACGUAUGUGUGACGCUCCACGCCAGCCCCCGCCACUCUAGUGUUACUGCUUGGUGCCAUGAUGCGUCUUGCACGAUGAUGUCGUGGGGGGAAGGGCAUGGAGAAGAGUUUCAGAUUGUGUUUUGGGGGGUGGUUGGCACACCUAUAGUUAAUGAUGGGGAACUCUACAGGGGACAUGGACCUCCCUGUCAUACGGCUCACCCUCUUAGUGUUGUGUAGAUGACGUAGUUUGGUUCGUCUGUUACGAUUAUUUGAGUCCGUUCCUCUUAUUUUCCCUAAAGGGAUCUUCUGGUUUUGUGAGAUCGGAGGGGGUCUCGCUCUCGGCCCCCCCAUGCUGCUGAUCAGCUGUUUGAAUGGAUUGCGUCGCUGGUGCGAGCGCUGCGUCCUCUUCAGUGUUCACCUGCAUGCCGUCCAGUGGCGUAACUAGAAAUGACUGGGCCCCACAGCAAAUUUUGAAGGCUUCCUUCACUCCUGUGGCUAGUCAGGCCCGGCAGCCCCUCCAUGCGUUUCCUACAGUGUCCCUGUAUAAUGCUGUGGAGGGUCCUCCUCUGGUAUGUGUCCCUUCC